This 1171-nucleotide unclassified non-coding RNA is filed under the name Manduca sexta (tobacco hornworm). RNAcentral's name for it is "uncharacterized LOC115440372, transcript variant X3". The record is from RNAcentral. Lineage: Eukaryota; Metazoa; Arthropoda; Insecta; Lepidoptera; Sphingidae.
GUCAAACUUGAUAAGAUAUUUUGUCAAAUGUCAAAUUGACAUUCUUUAGCAAAAACAUAUUGUCUUUUUACCUUCGUAUUUUUCUUUAAAUCUAUACAGACUAACGUUUCAAUUUUGUACUUAGAAGUUUAUCGUGUAGAAUCUUCUUGUAUGUAUUGGUGCAUAUAUUUGGUCAACAGUUAUAAAGUUUCAUAACCUAAAAUAGCUGCUAAACGGUGAAAUCACGUUCGAUGUUUAUGUGAUAAACUAAAUUUAAUUUGGUAUAUUGAAAAUUUAUGAUUUUAUAAAAACUUUAAUAAAGAGUAAUUUCAUUAAAAAUACCAAAUAAUAAAAAGGAUGUCGUCAGAUAUCAUAGCCUGUCUCCAAUUGGAUAAAGAAUUAUCUAAUAGAGUGAUUGUUGCUAAGGAGAUAAAUGGCUGUGAUAGCUCAUUCAUUGUUAGUUGUGUACUAAACCACUGUGUCAAAAAUAAACAUCCAGUGUUCAUAUUGUCAACACAUCACUCUUUGCAGCAUUACCAAAAUAUCAGUCUAAAAAUGAAUUAUAAUUUACAAAGACAUAUGGACUCGGGAAUUAUAGGUUUCUUUAAUAUAGGGGAAGAUGCUGUUGAAAAGUUAUUUAGAAAUGAAAAUAAUUCAUUACAAGAAUUGAUAUUCACAAUCAAAGAAAAUAUAUGUAAAUUACAAUGUGAAACAAAUAAUUCUGUUAAUAUUAUCCUGGAUGGAGUCUCACAUCUCUUUGAUUUGGGUUAUGAUUUAAGGGAAGUUAAUCAGUUUUUAAGAAAUAUCAUUGUUCUAACAUAUGAGACAAAUGCAUUUAUAUUAUGUCUUUGUAAUUCUGCAGAAGAUGAUGAUGCUACACAAACAAUAUCCAACCUAUUAUCUCAUAAAGCUGAUACAGUAUUGGAAGUUGAAAACUUGCCAUCAGGCUUAAGUGCAGAUGUGUCUGGGCAUUUGACAAUUAAACAUCCAGGUCAAAAAUGGCAAAAUGACCAUAUGAACACAUUAAAUUUCAAACCAUCUAAAUACCUUUUCAAAUUAUUUGAUAGAGGUGUUAAAUUGUUAGCACCUGGUACUGUUUAAUGUAUUUUUCUUGAUUUGAAAUUUUUUUUCCUAAUGUCUUGUUAUGUAUGUAUGUAUUUUAGAAUGAAUUAAUGAAUAAAUAACAUUAAAA